This 1025-nucleotide long non-coding RNA is filed under the name Brassica napus (rape). Its description in RNAcentral is "long non-coding RNA (BNAP_LNC009663)". Lineage: Eukaryota; Viridiplantae; Streptophyta; Magnoliopsida; Brassicales; Brassicaceae. The record is from RNAcentral.
GUUAAAGGAUGGGGUUUAGGAUUUAGGGUUUAGGGUUUAGGGUUUAGAGUUUAGGGUUUAGGGUUUAGAUUUUAGGGUUUAGGGUUUAGGGUUUAGGGUUUAAGGUUUAGAGUUUAGGGUUUACGGUUUAGGGUUUAGGGUUUGGAGUUUAGGGUUUAGGGUUUAGAGUUUAGGGUUUAGGGUUUAGAGUUGAGAAAUGAGGUUUUGGGGAUAAGAAUUCAAAUUUUGAAAAAUAAAAAAAUUAAAAUUUUCAAAGGAUAAACUUAGAAAGGUGCUAUUUUGGUCAUUUUAGUUUUUGAGUGCUAUUUUUGUGAUAUAAACUUAGAAAAGUGCUAUUUUGGAGAUUUGCCCUUAUUAAAUUCAAUAUUUGUGGUAAUAUGAUAUAUAAAAUAUAAAUAUUAAAUUUUGAUAAAUGUUUAAAAUACAUAAUUAGUUAUAAAUAAUUAUUUUAUAAUCUGUUCAUUGAAAUAACAAAUCUAUUCUCUAUAAGGCAAUGAAUGUUGUUGACAAAUGUUUGUUUACAUGUUUGAUCUAAUUUUUUAUUGUUAUUUUAUUAAUUUUAUGUGUGAUAAAUUAAGAGAAAAAAACAAAAAUAGCAUUAAAUUAAGUUUAUGUUCCCAAACUAGCACUCAAGGUCAAAUGUCACAAAAAUAGCACUUAAUGUUUUAUCAAAAGUCACAAACUUAGGGUUUAGAGUUAAAGGGUGGGGUUUAGGAUUUAGGGUUUAGGGUUUAGGGUUUAGGGUUUAGGGUUUACGGUUUAGGGUUUAGAGUUUAGGGUUUAUGGUUUAGGGUUUAGGGUUUAGGGUUUAAGGUUUAGGGUUUAGGGUUUAGGGUUUAGAGUUUAGGGUUUAGGGUUUAGAGUUGAGAAAUGAGGUUUUGGGGAUAAGAUUUUAAAUUUUGAAAAAUAAAAAAAUUAAAAUUUUCAAAGGAUAAACUUACAAAGGUGUUAUUUUGGUCAUUUUAGUUUUUGAGUGUUAUUUUUGUGAUAUAAACUUAGAAAGAUGCUAUUUUGGAGAUUUGCCC